CCUACGGGCGGCAGCAGUAGGGAAUCUUCCACAAUGGGCGAAAGCCUGAUGGAGCAACGCCGCGUGGGUGAAGAAGGUCUUCGGAUCGUAAAACCCUGUUGUUAGAGAAGAAAGUGCGUGAGAGUAACUGUUCACGUUUCGACGGUAUCUAACCAGAAAGCCACGGCUAACUACGUGCCAGCCGCCGCGGUAAUACGUAGGUGGCAAACGUUGUCCGGAUUUAUUGGGAGUAAAGGGAGCGCAGGCGGUCUGUUAAGUCUGAUGUGAACGCCUUCGGCUUAACCGGGGUAGUGCAUAGAAUACUGGGAGACUUGAGUGCAGAAGAGGAGAGUGGAAUUCAAGGUGUAGCGGUGAAAUGCGUAGAUAUAUGGAAGAACACCAGUGGCGAAGGCGGCUCUCUGGUCUGUAACUGACGCUGAGGUUCGAAAGCGUGGGUAGCAAACAGGAUUAGAUACCCCAGUAGUC
RNAcentral lists this ribosomal RNA (465 nucleotides) under uncultured bacterium. Its description in RNAcentral is "partial 16S ribosomal RNA". It matches the Rfam family "Bacterial small subunit ribosomal RNA", at positions 338 to 795 of the family's 1533-position model. The record is from RNAcentral.